GACAGGCUUGGCAGGUACUAAGCCAGAUGGAGGCAUGACCCUGGGAGGGGGUGGAGUGCAAAGAGGUGCAGAGCACCCCAUAAAAUAAGGGGUUGGGCAUCACCAUGCCCCCUGCAGGCUUUGCCACCCAUCAGCACCAGCAAGUCGCCCCACCCAGAGCUCUGCAAAGAACACCGCCAGCUCUUUCCUUCCGGGUGCUCUUGCUGGGGGGUCAGGCUGGUCCCCUCUGACUGGCACUGCCCACGCUGGGACAUGGGAGGAGGGCCAUCUGGGCACUGCAGGAGCAGAUCCUGGGUGCACAUGGGGAGACAGGUGUGCUGGCAGGAACAGCAGGCGGGGCUGAGCUCAGGAGGCGCCUCACAGCGGGUGCCUCCAGCCUGGUCUGAGCACGGGAUGAAGAACCAGGCACCGCUCAUCGUGCAUCUCCACAAGGCACUGUGUGACUUCAUGCAAGCCGCUCAACCUCUCUGGCCCCACGUCCUUGUCCACAGGGGCAGAGUGGACUGAAUGGAGGCUGAGGUCCCUCUCAGCUUGGGUGGUGUGGCAGAGGGUGAGGAGGAGCCCAUGGGCCCUGGAUCACCAGCCUCCCUCCACCCAGAAUGCCCCGUCCACUCCACUGCCCACCACCCUCUGUGCAAUUGACAAACGUCCUGGUGUUAACGCCUAAGCAUAAAGAGUCGGCUUUGCUGUAA
This is a long non-coding RNA of Homo sapiens (human), 692 nucleotides long. The record is from Ensembl. NCBI's taxonomy places the organism in Eukaryota, Metazoa, Chordata, Mammalia, Primates, Hominidae.